RNAcentral lists this ribosomal RNA (260 nucleotides) under uncultured bacterium. Its description in RNAcentral is "partial 16S ribosomal RNA". It matches the Rfam family "Bacterial small subunit ribosomal RNA", at positions 793 to 1055 of the family's 1533-position model. The record is from RNAcentral.
GUCCACGCCCUAAACGAUGUCAACUGGUUGUUGGGUCUUCACUGACUCAGUAACGAAGCUAACGCGUGAAGUUGACCGCCUGGGGAGUACGGCCGCAAGGUUGAACUCAAAGGAAUUGACGGGACCCGCACAAGCGGUGGAUGAUGUGGUUUAAUUCGAUGCAACGCGAAACCUUACCCACCUUUGACAUGUAUGGAAUCCUUUAGAGAUAGAGGAGUGCUCGAAAGAGAGCCAUAACACAGGUGCUGCAUGGCUGUCGU